This 301-nucleotide ribosomal RNA is filed under the name uncultured bacterium. RNAcentral's name for it is "partial 16S ribosomal RNA". It matches the Rfam family "Bacterial small subunit ribosomal RNA", at positions 509 to 807 of the family's 1533-position model. The record is from RNAcentral.
CAGCCGCCGCGGGAAUACGUAGGUGGCAAGCGUUGUCCGGAUUUAUUGGGCGUAAAGGGCUCGCAGGCGGUUUCUUAAGUCUGAUGUGAAAGCCCCCGGCUCAACCGGGGAGGGUCAUUGGAAACUGGGAAACUUGAGUGCAGAAGAGGAGAGUGGAAUUCCACGUGUAGCGGUGAAAUGCGUAGAGAUGUGGAGGAACACCAGUGGCGAAGGCGACUCUCUGGUCUGUAACUGACGCUGAGGAGCGAAAGCGUGGGGAGCGAACAGGAUUAGAUACCCGGGUAGUCCCUGUCUCUUAUAC